This 1491-nucleotide ribosomal RNA is filed under the name Triticum aestivum (bread wheat). Its description in RNAcentral is "partial small subunit ribosomal RNA". Lineage: Eukaryota; Viridiplantae; Streptophyta; Magnoliopsida; Poales; Poaceae. The record is from RNAcentral.
AUGUUAGAUACAUCGGGUUUAUCCAAGGCAUGGUGGGGGGAGGCUAUAUUGACGGCAUGUCAUGUCCUGAAUAAAGUUCCGACAAAGGAUAGUGAGAUCACUCCCUAUGAGAAAUGGGCAAAGAGAAGGACGACACUCUCGUACCUGCGCACUUGGGGCUGUUUGGCGAAAGUCAACGUGCCGAUCCCCAAAAAGCGUAAGCUUGGACAUAAGACCGUGGACUGCAUUAAUUUGGGCUACGCUAAGAACAGCGUUGGCUAUAGAUUUCUAGUAGUGAAAUCUGAGGUACCUGACCAGAAGAUCGGUACAAUUAUGGAGUCUAAGGAUGCUACAUUCUUUGAGGAUAUUUUUCCUAUGAGAGAUAUGCAAAGCACUUCUAGACAGGAAUCUGAGGAGACUCCUGAACCUGCCAUCCCUAUGGAAUAUUAUGAACAAACACAUGAUGAAAAUCCCGAGGAGGAUGACGAGGAAAUCCUUGGUAGGGGCAAGAGACAAAGGACUGCAAAGACCUUUGGUGAUGAUUUCUUCGUGUACCUCGUGGAUGAUACUCCCACUUCUAUUUCAGAAGCGUAUGCCUCUCCAGAAGCUGACUACUGGAAGGAUGCGGUCCGUAGCGAGAUGGAUUCCAUCAUGGCUAACGGGACAUGGGAGAUCACUGACCGUCCCUAUGGUUGCAAACCACUGGGAUGUAAGUGGGUGUUCAAAAAGAAGCUUAGGCCCGAUGGUACGAUUGAAAAGUACAAGGCUAGGCUUGUGGCCAAGGGCUAUGAUCAGCAAGAAGAGGAAGAUUUCUUUGAUACUUAUUCACCUGUGGCUAGACUGACCACCAUUCGAGUAUUACUCUCGUUGGCGGCCUCACAUGGUCUUCUCGUCCAUCAGAUGGAUGUUAAGACAGCUUUUCUAAAUGGAGAGCUAAAGGAGGAAAUCUACAUGCAACAGCCUGAUGGCUUUGUGGUAGAUGGUCAGGAAAGAAAGGUGUGUAGGUUGAUAAAAUCUUUAUAUGGGCUGAAACAAGUACCUAAGCAAUGGCAUGAUAAGUUUAAUACAACUCUGACAUCUGUUGGUUUCGUUGUUAAUGAGGCUGACAAAUGUGUAUACUAUCGCCAUGGUGGGGGCGAAGGAGUUAUACUGUGCUUGUAUGUUGAUGACAUACUGAUAUUCGGAACAAACCUCAAAGUCAUUGAGGAGGUCAAAUCGUUUCUAUCUCAGAACUUUGAGAUGAAAGACCUUGGUGUGGCUGAUGUUAUCUUGAACAUCAAGCUACUGAGAGAUAAUGAGGGUGGGAUCACACUUCUGCAAUCCCAUUACGUUGAGAAGGUGUUGAGUCGUUUUGGAUAUUCGGACUGCACACCAUCUCAAACACCAUAUGAUCCUAGCGUAUUGAUACGAAAGUCCAAAGGCAUGGCUAAAGAUCAAUUGAGAUACUCUCAAAUCAUUGGUUCACUGAUGUACCUAGCGAGCGCAACGAGGCCUGCAUCGCGUUUGCUGUGA